Macaca mulatta (Rhesus monkey) is the source of this 512-nucleotide long non-coding RNA. RefSeq lists it as uncharacterized. NCBI's taxonomy places the organism in Eukaryota, Metazoa, Chordata, Mammalia, Primates, Cercopithecidae. The record is from RefSeq and is a predicted model, not a curated record.
UUCUCAUCCAGUAGGCCUUUACUCAAUAGGAUUUCCUAUAAUUCUAUCUUAAUCCAUGUCUCUGUGGAUGAACCAAACAGACCACAACAUAGAAGAGCCUGCCAAAGUGGCUUCCUGCCAGCAGCCCUCUCUCCUCUUUAAGAUAGACUUCGGCUUAAUGAUUGUACAGUGAUCCAAAUCAAUGAAGAAAGCAAAGAACAGACACGUAUCUCAUUAUCUUCUGCAAAGAUCUAUUUGUUUAGCCAUGUGCAAAUAUUGCCCUAAAAUGUUCACAGGUUCCAGGAUAACCAGAUGUCUGAGGAAUAUUGAAGAUUUGAGUGAUGCCAGUGCCUCAGUCAGCCUGGAAGACUGUAUGGAAGGAGGCUGCCUGGCCACACACACUGUUAUGUCCCUCUCUCCCUAAAAAAGAGACACAUUUUGCCUUUGUGCAAAGCAUUACAUACAUGUGGUCUAUGUGUUCUGUUAUUUAACAUCUAAUAAUGUUGAUGACAUUAAAAUAUACUUGACAAUGA